This 255-nucleotide ribosomal RNA is filed under the name uncultured soil bacterium. Its description in RNAcentral is "partial 16S ribosomal RNA". It matches the Rfam family "Bacterial small subunit ribosomal RNA", at positions 26 to 285 of the family's 1533-position model. The record is from RNAcentral.
AGGACGAACGCUGGCGGCGUGCUUAACACAUGCAAGUCGAGCGGUAAGGCCUUUCGGGGUACACGAGCGGCGAACGGGUGAGUAACACGUGGGUGAUCUGCCCUGCACUCUGGGAUAAGCCUGGGAACUGGGUCUAAUACCGGAUAUGACCUGCUCUCGCAGUGGGGGUGGGUAGGAAAGAUUUAUCGGUGCAGGAUGGGCCCGCGGCCUAUCAGCUUGUUGGUGGGUAAUGGCCUACCAAGGCGACGACGGGUA